This 321-nucleotide ribosomal RNA is filed under the name uncultured eukaryote. Its description in RNAcentral is "partial 18S ribosomal RNA". It matches the Rfam family "Eukaryotic small subunit ribosomal RNA", at positions 1470 to 1796 of the family's 1831-position model. The record is from RNAcentral.
CCCUUAGAUGUCCUGGGCCGCACGCGCGCUUCACUGACAUGUUCAACAAGCCUCCUAGUUCGACAGGAUUUGGGAAAUCUUUGAACGCAUGUCGUGAUAGGGAUAGAUCAUUGCAAUUAUUGAUCUUGAACGAGGAAUUCCUAGUAAACGCGAGUCAUCAGCUCGCAUUGAUUACGUCCCUGCCCUUUGUACACACCGCCCGUCGCACCUACCGAUUGAAUGUUUCGGUGAAGAUUCCGGAUAGGACUUUUUUGAUUUAUUUCAAUUUUGUCUUAAAAGCUAUCUAAACCUCAACAUUUAGAGGAAGGUGAAGUCGUAACA